GAAACGCUGGCGGGCGGGUCUUACACAUGCAAGUCGAACGAUGAAGCUGGAGCUUGCUCCGGUGGAUUAGUGGCGAACGGGUGAGUAACACGUGAGCAAUCUGCCCUUCGCUCUGGGAUAACUGCGGGAAACUGUAGCUAAUACCGGAUACGAAGCCUUGGGGCAUCCCAGGGCUUGGAAAGAAUUUCGGUGAAGGAUGAGCUCGCGGCCUAUCAGCUAGUUGGUGAGGUAAUGGCUCACCAAGGCGACGACGGGUAGCCGGCCUGAGAGGGUGACCGGCCACACUGGGACUGAGACACGGCCCAGACUCCUACGGGAGGCAGCAGUGGGGAAUAUUGCACAAUGGGCGAAAGCCUGAUGCAGCAACGCCGCGUGAGUGGAUGAAGGCCUUCGGGUUGUAAACCUCUUUUAGUAGGGAAGAAGCGCAAGUGACGGUACCUACAGAAAAAGCACCGGCUAACUACGUGCCAGCAGCCGCGGUAAUACGUAGGGUGCAAGCGUUGUCCGGAAUUAUUGGGCGUAAAGAGCUCGUAGCGGUUUGUCGCGUCUGCUGUGAAAACCUGAAGCUCAACUUCAGGCCUGCAGUGGGUACGGGCAAAACUAGAGUGCGGUAGGGGAGAACGGGAAUUCCUGGUGUAGCGGUGGAAUGCGCAGAUAUCAGGAGGAACACCGAU
This 674-nucleotide ribosomal RNA is filed under the name uncultured Actinomycetes bacterium. RNAcentral describes it as "bacterial SSU rRNA". It matches the Rfam family "Bacterial small subunit ribosomal RNA", at positions 30 to 713 of the family's 1533-position model. The record is from RNAcentral. Lineage: Bacteria; Bacillati; Actinomycetota; Actinomycetes.